This 73-nucleotide transfer RNA is filed under the name Stegodyphus mimosarum. It matches the Rfam family "tRNA". Rfam says of the family: Transfer RNA (tRNA) molecules are approximately 80 nucleotides in length. Their secondary structure includes four short double-helical elements and three loops (D, anti-codon, and T loops). Further hydrogen bonds mediate the characteristic L-shaped molecular structure. tRNAs have two regions of fundamental functional importance: the anti-codon, which is responsible for specific mRNA codon recognition, and the 3' end, to which the tRNAs corresponding amino acid is attached (by aminoacyl-tRNA synthetases). tRNAs cope with the degeneracy of the genetic code in two manners: having more than one tRNA (with a specific anti-codon) for a particular amino acid; and 'wobble' base-pairing, i.e. permitting non-standard base-pairing at the 3rd anti-codon position. The record is from Rfam by way of RNAcentral. Lineage: Eukaryota; Metazoa; Arthropoda; Arachnida; Araneae; Eresidae.
GUCGCCGUGCGCUAACGGAUAAGGCGUCUGACUGCGAAUUGGAAAAUUGCAGGUUUGAAUCCUGUCGCAGACG